Molecule: non-coding RNA, 108 nt
Organism: Rhodocollybia butyracea
Lineage: Eukaryota; Fungi; Basidiomycota; Agaricomycetes; Agaricales; Omphalotaceae
Source: the annotation of a GenBank genome assembly
GGUAGCGUGGCCGAGUGGUCUAAGGCGUUGGAUUUAAGAGCACACCAAAUUCCUUGGUGGUUCAUCCCAAUGACGAAAGUCGCGCGGGUUCAAAUCCCGCCGCUACCA